CUGCCUCUUUAUGUUGUCUGAUUCAUAAAGCAAAAAUUAAAAGCCUGCCUUUGACAACUUAAUUAGCUAGCUAGGUUUAUUGGAUUUGCUGUUUCCUCUCGUCGAUCGAGCAGCUCUCUUCUCAUCUUCAUCAAAAACCAUCACUCUCUCAUCAAAACACCAUGGGUCUCUCAUGAAAACACAUCUCGAUUAGGACUCGACUGCACUCAUCCUUCACUGCACUCAUCGAUUAUGAUUUCGAUCCCUCUUCUUAUUCGUGUCUAUCUCUCAAAAGCCAACCCAUUUCCUCUCUCAUCUCCCCUGACCUGCAAACCAAAAAGGAAGAAGCUCGAAGUUUUGAUUCUAAGCAACAUCACCACGAAGAUCGGGAAGAGACGCUCUUCAUUCCUCUCUUCAAUUGAACUACUUUUGGUGGAACGGUUCAGAUCAUCGUCGUCGUCCACCUCCAGCAGCUCUCACUACCUCUCCAAGUGACUCCUCUGAGGCACCGUCGUUCUCCAGGUCCUCUACGGUCACAUUCGGUUCCCCAACUCCGACCACGUCGUUUUCGGAGAAAUCGAUAGAAUUGGUGAUAAUUGGUGAAGUUGGGGGAUGGUACAGUCUGUAUGUGAUCAGCAGCCUGUGUUUGGCACCAUUAAAGACAUUGCCGUCCUACCAUGGAAUGACAGAUUCCGAACUCGAAACCGCCAGGGUUUGUAGGCUUGCAGUUGGUAAUGGCUUGGUCUGGUUGAGUGUGCUGAAUAGUUGAAAGCAUUUUCUACCGCUAAAUCUGCAGGUUAGUCCUGUGAUCUGAUAUUCAUUUUGUACGAAAGAUGCUAUUGUAUCUAAAUCUGGUGGAUGGUACUUCUAAAAUUCGAGGGUACAUUCCUUAUAACAGUUAUAUUAACUUGGCUGGAAACAUCUAACUAUUUCGUUGUCACUGCAGCUCCAUAAUGAAAACAAUGAUUAUGACAGAGACAAAGAACUAGAUUGACUAUUUUAAACGUGUUAGCUUCAAGGGCAAGGGUUUAGGCUUAUAUUAUAACCUUUGACAUAUCUCUCCCACUAUUACCUAAAGCCUCUUUCCUUGGUGAUUAUCAUCUACAUAUGAUUAUCUCAUUUAUAGAUAAUUGUGCAGCUGUACAUAUUAAUCUCUUUGUAUUUUGUUAUCACUUUAGUGAUUAAGUUCUACUACAAUUGUAACUUCUGUAUGCAUAUCAAUAUAAAUAUAGUCACUUGACUCAGUUUUUUGUGUGUUAUUAUGUCCAUGCCUCAUUCACCAAAAUGAUUCACUAAUCCUUUUGAUAUAAUAAACUGAUUUCAAUGGGAGAGGAGAGGCAGCAGCCAAUACACCCAAGCGGAUAUUGAUCAAGUGCGAAAUGAGUGGGGAAAGUUUGUUGUCAACACAUAUGUGCAUGAGUCAUGAAGUAGCACGCUUGUUGCUGGGAGGAAUCAAAGUUCUAAGAACAACAAAUCUGGGUUGAAAUUUGCUUCUGAUUCUAAAAGUGGGUAUCGAAAGAAAAUCGAAUGUUAAUGCUGUAGGAUACCAUUACCCUUUUGUUGAACUUCAGUUGGGUUGUUGUUUUGCCAUGUGGUUCCCGCAAACCUACCAAGCCUUACAAUUAAGUUGGAGCUUGCAAUAUAUUCUAGUAUGCAGGAUGCUCAACCACGUACAGUUAUUGGAUUGUGGAAAGUCAAUCUGGAAGAACCAAAAUCUCACCUGUCUGAUCCUUCGGUUAUAAUUCAUGAUAUCUCCACAAUCCCACGAGGCAGGAGGCGGAGACAAAGGCAUCAAAAACUAAGGCGUAAGUAUUGUUUGUUAAUUAAUCUCAAUCAAUAUGAUUUUUGAAAGUGAUUUAGAAUCAAAGAAAUUGGAUAUUUUUCAGAUAAAGUACAGCAGUAAUGUUGUGGUACCACUCUCCAGCCUCCUAUAGUCCUACUCCUUCCUAUCUAUAAUAAGCA
Rosa rugosa (rugosa rose) is the source of this 1941-nucleotide long non-coding RNA. RefSeq lists it as uncharacterized. The record is from RefSeq and is a predicted model, not a curated record. Lineage: Eukaryota; Viridiplantae; Streptophyta; Magnoliopsida; Rosales; Rosaceae. The transcript is spliced from 9 exons.